UCUAGGGGUAUGAUUCUCGCUUUGGGUGCGAGAGGUCCCGGGUUCAAAUCCCGGACGAGCCCAGCUCCUAUUUUUCUACUCUUCUGGAAGUAGCUGUGAAGUUCCUCCUGUUGAAAUUCCAGAAGACAGCAAGACAAGAGAAGAGCGCCCUUGCAUGAGAGUUGUCUGGGUGGAGGUCCGGUUCCUCGCUACUCGAGCCUUAGGAGCUUCGCCACGGAAGGAGGGAACCGGUGCUUUGGUCUGCAGAAUUCAGAGACCGGUCGGCCCAGAUCUGCUGGGUAUUCCGAGGUCAGCCACAGCUGCCUCGGAGAGGGAUUUCCAACCCUGGACAGAGUCCCCAGGGCGGCUAGGACACAGCGACUCUCCGGGGGAGGGAGGAGACCCGCCGGCCGGGGCCUGGGGUGCUAUCUGCCGGGCGGUCCACCUGCCCCAUCCGCGCGCACCCUGUCUUCGGGCCAGCGCGCCGGCGGCUCUCAGCGUCUGCCUCCCACCUAGGCUUUGGCCUCGCUGCUGGGCCAGGCACGACCCACAGCAGGCUCGCUGUACCACAGGGGGCCGCGCCGCCGACUCCGAGGCCGGAUCGGGGCUUCUAGGAGUGGUGGCCGGGCUCUUGGGAGGACCGCCCGUCGGGAACAGUGACCGUGACCUCUAGAGCGCAGGCUUCCAUGUGCGCAGCGGGAAUCGCCAGCCAAGCUCCACGCAGCCUCCGGGGCCAAGAGCAAGGGCAAGCCUCGCCGGCCAGCUAAGGGCUUCUCACUCUGCGGGAUGGAGAGGGACUUGGACGACCGUCUGGAUUCACCCUUGCAGGGCGGGUCUGAAACCCGACUCUCCUUCCAGCUCGGUCCCUCGCGUCCCGCCCCUAGACGUCUGAAUGGUCAUAAAACGGACCGAGGGGCCAGGCCAACGUGGCUCGUUGGUCUAGGGGUAUGAUUCUCGCUUAGGGUGCGAGAGGUCCCGGGUUCAAAUCCCGGACGAGCCCAUAUUUAUGUUCCAUACACCCAUAAAUCGUACCAGGCUCCGGAUGAGUAGGCUGACCUUUUAAAGACCUAAAACUCUGCUGCCCCGUGGUACUUCCUAGAAAACAGGACCAGUGUUCUUUCGAGCUCCUGAACCGUCCCCCAGUGAGUGACCCAAGAGUUAAGACAGAUAAAGCGCUACAUGAGACACCGUUGGCAGAUGCCGGCUACAUGGAUGGCACAGCUCUCCACAAGCUAUACUGAUUGAGAUGAGUAACGGGUAAUUGAAACAGAAGUUAAAUGGGGCCGAAAGGAUGGCUCAGUGGCUGAGGGCACUUGCUGCUCUUUCGGAGGACCUGGAUGACUUCACAAAACCGACCUCACAUAGAUCACAACUGCUUUUAACUCCAGCUCCAUGGGUCCAAUGCCUUCUUCUGGCUCCUGCAGACGCUGAAUGCACAGCGUACACAUACAUACACGCAGGCACA
Mesocricetus auratus (golden hamster) is the source of this 1444-nucleotide long non-coding RNA. RefSeq lists it as uncharacterized. Lineage: Eukaryota; Metazoa; Chordata; Mammalia; Rodentia; Cricetidae. The record is from RefSeq and is a predicted model, not a curated record. The transcript has 3 exons.